This 544-nucleotide ribosomal RNA is filed under the name uncultured bacterium. RNAcentral's name for it is "bacterial SSU rRNA". It matches the Rfam family "Bacterial small subunit ribosomal RNA", at positions 777 to 1319 of the family's 1533-position model. The record is from RNAcentral.
AAUAGAUACCCGGGUAGUCCACGCCGUAAACGAUGAGUGCUAAGUGUUGGGGGGUUUCCGCCCCUCAGUGCUGCAGCUAACGCAUUAAGCACUCCGCCUGGGGAGUACGGUCGCAAGACUGAAACUCAAAGGAAUUGACGGGGGCCCGCACAAGCGGUGGAGCAUGUGGUUUAAUUCGAAGCAACGCGAAGAACCUUACCAGGUCUUGACAUCCCGGUGACCACUAUGGAGACAUAGUUUCCCCUUCGGGGGCAACGGUGACAGGUGGUGCAUGGUUGUCGUCAGCUCGUGUCGUGAGAUGUUGGGUUAAGUCCCGCAACGAGCGCAACCCUUAUUCUUAGUUGCCAUCAUUCAGUUGGGCACUCUAAGGAGACUGCCGGUGAUAAACCGGAGGAAGGUGGGGAUGACGUCAAAUCAUCAUGCCCCUUAUGACCUGGGCUACACACGUGCUACAAUGGACGGUACAAACGGUUGCCAACCCGCGAGGGGGAGCUAAUCCGAUAAAACCGUUCUCAGUUCGGAUUGUAGGCUGCAACUCGCCUAC